This 1308-nucleotide ribosomal RNA is filed under the name Acinetobacter baumannii 96512. Its description in RNAcentral is "bacterial LSU rRNA". It matches the Rfam family "Bacterial large subunit ribosomal RNA", at positions 1638 to 2925 of the family's 2925-position model. The record is from RNAcentral. Lineage: Bacteria; Pseudomonadati; Pseudomonadota; Gammaproteobacteria; Moraxellales; Moraxellaceae.
GGAAUCGUACCCGAAACCGACACAGGUGGUCAGGUCGAGUAGACCAAGGCGCUUGAGAGAACUCUGCUGAAGGAACUAGGCAAAAUGGUACCGUAACUUCGGGAGAAGGUACGCUGUUGUUGGUGAUGGAACUCGCUUCCUGAGCUGACGACAGCCGCAGAAACCAGGCCGCUGCAACUGUUUAUUAAAAACAUAGCACUCUGCAAACACGAAAGUGGACGUAUAGGGUGUGAUGCCUGCCCGGUGCUGGAAGGUUAAUUGAUGGGGUUAGCGUAAGCGAAGCUCUUGAUCGAAGCCCCAGUAAACGGCGGCCGUAACUAUAACGGUCCUAAGGUAGCGAAAUUCCUUGUCGGGUAAGUUCCGACCUGCACGAAUGGCAUAAUGAUGGCGGCGCUGUCUCCAGCAGAGGCUCAGUGAAAUCGAAAUCGCUGUGAAGAUGCAGUGUACCCGCGGCUAGACGGAAAGACCCCGUGAACCUUUACUGCAGCUUGACACUGAACUUUGACCUUACUUGUGUAGGAUAGGUGGGAGGCUUUGAAGCUGGAACGCUAGUUCCAGUGGAGCCGUCCUUGAAAUACCACCCUGGUAAUGUUGAGGUUCUAACUCUGUCCCGUGAUCCGGGACGAGGACCGUGUCUGGUGGGUAGUUUGACUGGGGCGGUCUCCUCCUAAAGAGUAACGGAGGAGUACGAAGGUGCGCUCAGCGUGGUCGGAAAUCACGCGUAGAGUAUAAAGGCAAAAGCGCGCUUAACUGCGAGACCCACAAGUCGAGCAGGUACGAAAGUAGGUCUUAGUGAUCCGGUGGUUCUGUAUGGAAGGGCCAUCGCUCAACGGAUAAAAGGUACUCUGGGGAUAACAGGCUGAUACCGCCCAAGAGUUCAUAUCGACGGCGGUGUUUGGCACCUCGAUGUCGGCUCAUCUCAUCCUGGGGCUGAAGCAGGUCCCAAGGGUAUGGCUGUUCGCCAUUUAAAGAGGUACGCGAGCUGGGUUUAGAACGUCGUGAGACAGUUCGGUCCCUAUCUACCGUGGGCGCUGGAAAUUUGAGAGGAUCUGCUCCUAGUACGAGAGGACCAGAGUGGACGAACCUCUGGUGUACCGGUUGUGACGCCAGUCGCAUCGCCGGGUAGCUAUGUUCGGAAGGGAUAACCGCUGAAAGCAUCUAAGCGGGAAGCCUACCUCAAGAUAAGAUUUCCCUAGGACUUUAUGUCCUCUAAAGAGCCGUUCGAGACUAGGACGUUGAUAGGUUGGAUGUGGAAGCAUAGUGAUAUGUGAAGCUGACCAAUACUAAUUGCUCGUGAGGCUUGACUAU